AUGGGUGGAGGCAAGCAGGUUGGAAGAAACGUCUGGUGUGACACCUGGGUGGCUGGAGGAAUGGGGAUGUGGUCAGGUUGCAGGCCCCUGCUGCAAGAUACAGCCCUAAAUUUGGCCCCAGUGUGCAAGGUGCAGGCAGAGACCUUGCAACGUGUGAUACCACGUCCUUGCAGCAGCUGUGGUGACUCGAACACAUCUUGCUGCAGAAGUUGGACAUAUGCCUGGGCAGCACACAUAUCUUGCCCUAGGAUUUUAUGGCUUGUCCCUUUCCCUGAUCCCAAGUCAGCAAUUGAUCAGUGCCCGGAGAUCAAACAUACUCAGAGUAGCAGAAUGGAGAGGAGCCCAGAGCCGUGCGAAUGCACAUUCACUGGAUUGUUGAGUGGACAAAAAAAAAUCAGUGUUCCUGAAAGACUGAGAUCAUCCCCUCUCCGUGUUUUUCUUCUGCAUCACUGAGUAUCUCUUUGGUUUUCUAUUUCGAUCCUUUCAACCUUAACAGGACAAGAGAAUGAAAUAUGCACAUAUGUAUGGAUUUCCUGCCUUUUUUUUUUUUUUUUUAAACUAUAUUUUCAGUUUUGGACCACUUUUCUUCCAACUGGUCAUUUGCACUACCUGACAGUAAACCUUCAGUGAGAGAGAUUCCUAGAUCAGGGAAUUAACACAUGGUGAAAAGGAGGAAGGAAAUCCCUUCUUUCUCACAGCCCAAAGACUGACUGCCAGCAAAUUACCAGAAAAGCAACUCUGGUAACAGUCCCCUGGCUACUUGAUACAGGAACAUCUCAUCUGCUUGUAAG
This 791-nucleotide long non-coding RNA is filed under the name Anas platyrhynchos platyrhynchos (common mallard). RNAcentral describes it as "lncRNA (ENSAPLG00000022666.1)". The record is from RNAcentral. Lineage: Eukaryota; Metazoa; Chordata; Aves; Anseriformes; Anatidae.